CGUUGGGAGAGUAAAUGUCCAGCACACCUUCCCUGCCUGCCUGAUCUUGAUCUUGUUUCUCCCUCCUGGAUUUCCCUGUUAUGCCCUGGACCUUGUCGGAUAUCUCCCUGGCUUCUGACCUCUGGACAUCGACCUUGUUUCUGCCUCCUGACUACUGCCUCCUGCCCCUGGAUUUCUCUGCCUGUAUCUGCCUCUCCGUGUCUGACCCCAUUUCUGUGCCUUGUGUAUCAAUUCAAGCCAAUUCCCCUCAUCCUGUCGCCUGUUACCAUUUCCCCAGCUUCGACCCUGUUUAUGUCCCCUGACCACUGGAUUCCACUAACCUACUGGGUUACGUUAAACCAAGGAGUCUCAUUCACAGUCUCUCAGAUCCUCUAUGACGCCAUUCCGCUGUCACCAACCUACAGCCUUGAGGAGCUGAAAAUUAGCAUCCUUACUCUCUCACGGAUUCUGAAAAGGUUUGGCCGACGACCUCCUUUCCGGGUUCUUGGCGUUCAUGUGGAGGAUAGCUCUUCCCUUGAGAUUCCUCCUCCAGAGGUCAGAUAACUAACCGAGACACUCUCAGCACCUGCCUGCCCGCUCGCUCACCGAUCCAGCUGAGCCUCUCAACCGAAAACAAAUCACAUGGAUCACCUUCAGGAAACGCCCCUCCAUAAGCCUCCCUCAAAGAUAAUAAGCUCUGCCAGAAACAACAAUACAGAUCCUGUUGACACUUGUGUCCUGCCUUCUAGCUACUCCGGAAAAUAAACUUGUUGAAAACGUUCUCUUGUCCCUGUGUCUGAGUGGUUCCGCA
This is a long non-coding RNA of Girardinichthys multiradiatus, 790 nucleotides long. RefSeq lists it as uncharacterized. NCBI's taxonomy places the organism in Eukaryota, Metazoa, Chordata, Actinopteri, Cyprinodontiformes, Goodeidae. The record is from RefSeq and is a predicted model, not a curated record. The transcript is spliced from 3 exons.